GAAGCGACGCAUGCGCCCGCCGC
RNAcentral lists this small nuclear RNA (23 nucleotides) under Arabidopsis thaliana (thale cress). RNAcentral's name for it is "snRNA_08475". The record is from RNAcentral. Lineage: Eukaryota; Viridiplantae; Streptophyta; Magnoliopsida; Brassicales; Brassicaceae.